GCCCCAGACUCCUACGGGAGGCAGCAGUGGGGAAUAUUGCACAAUGGGGGGAACCCUGAUGCAGCAACGCCGCGUGGGUGAAGAAGUACUCCGGUAUGUAAAGCCCUGUCAGCAGGGAAGAAAAUGACGGUACCUGACCAAGAAGCCCCGGCUAACUACGUGCCAGCAGCCGCGGUAAUACGUAGGGGGCAAGCGUUAUCCGGAUUUACUGGGUGUAAAGGGAGCGUAGACGGCAAGGCAAGUCUGGAGUGAAAGCCCGUGGCCCAACCACGGGACUGCUUUGGAAACUGUGCGGCUAGAGUACUGGAGGGGCAGGCGGAAUUCCUAGUGUAGCGGUGAAAUGCGUAGAUAUUAGGAGGAACACCAGUGGCGAAGGCGGCCUGCUGGACAGUAACUGACGUUGAGGCUCGAAAGCGUGGGGAGCAAACAGGAUUAGAUACCCGAGUAUA
This 449-nucleotide ribosomal RNA is filed under the name uncultured bacterium. RNAcentral's name for it is "bacterial SSU rRNA". It matches the Rfam family "Bacterial small subunit ribosomal RNA", at positions 328 to 794 of the family's 1533-position model. The record is from RNAcentral.